GCGCGAAACCUCCACAAUGUACGGAAGUACGAUGGGGUUACCUCGAGUGCAGUCCGAUAAGGGUUGCUUUUCCAUAGAGUAAUAUCCUGUGGGAAUAAGAGGGGGGCAAGACUGGUGUCAGCCGCCGCGGUAACACCAGCCCCUCGAGUGGUGGGGACUUUUUAUUUGGCCUAAAGCGUCCGUAGCCGGCUGUGUCCGUCCUCCGUUAAAUCCAGCGUCCUAAGCGUUGGACCGCGGGCGAUACCAAACAGCUAGAGGGUGGGAUAGGUAAGCGGUAUUUCUGGGGUAGGGCGAAAUCCUUUGAUCCUAGGAGGACCACCAGUGGCGAAGGCUGCUUACUGGAACACGCCUGACGGUCAGGGACGAAAGCUGGGGUAGCGAACCGGAUUAGAUACCCGGGUAGUCCCAGCUGUAAACGAUGCUCGCUAGGUGUUGGGUCGGCCACGUGCCGCCCCAGUGCCGCAGGGAAGCCGUUAAGCGAGCCGCCUGGGGAGUACGGCCGCAAGGCUGAAACUUAAAGGAAUUGGCGGGGGAGCACCACCAGG
Molecule: ribosomal RNA, 545 nt
Filed under: uncultured crenarchaeote
Lineage: Archaea; Thermoproteati; Thermoproteota
Description: bacterial SSU rRNA
Rfam family: Archaeal small subunit ribosomal RNA
Source: RNAcentral